GCGGGCGUAGCUCAGUGGUAGAGUCGCAGCCUUCCAAGCUGUGUGUCGCGGGUUCAAAUCCCGUCGCCCGCUCCA
This 75-nucleotide transfer RNA is filed under the name Nitrospira sp. RNAcentral's name for it is "tRNA-Gly". It matches the Rfam family "tRNA". Rfam says of the family: Transfer RNA (tRNA) molecules are approximately 80 nucleotides in length. Lineage: Bacteria; Pseudomonadati; Nitrospirota; Nitrospiria; Nitrospirales; Nitrospiraceae. The record is from RNAcentral. RNAcentral also lists the same sequence under 4 other names.